AGUGAAUAGAUACCCUGGUAGUCCACGCCCUAAACGAUGUCGACUAGGUGUUCGGUGAGGAGACUCAUUGAGUACCGCAGCUAACGCGUGAAGUCGACCGCCUGGGGAGUACGGUCGCAAGAUUAAAACUCAAAGGAAUUGACGGGGACCCGCACAAGCGGUGGAUGAUGUGGAUUAACUCGAUGCAACGCGAAAAACCUUACCUACCCUUGACAUGUACGGAACCCUGCUGAGAGGUGGGGGUGCUCGAAAGAGAGCCGUAACACAGGUGCUGCAUGGCUGUCGUCAGCUCGUGUCGUGAGAUGUUGGGUUAAGUCCCGCAACGAGCGCAACCCUUGUCAUUAGUUGCUACGCAAGAGCACUCUAAUGAGACUGCCGGUGACAAACCGGAGGAAGGUGGGGAUGACGUCAAGUCCUCAUGGCCCUUAUGGGUAGGGCUUCACACGUCAUACAAUGGUCGGUACAGAGGGUUGCCAAGCCGCGAGGUGGAGCCAAUCCCAGAAAGCCGAUCGUAGUCCGGAUCGCAGU
Molecule: ribosomal RNA, 528 nt
Filed under: uncultured bacterium
Lineage: Bacteria
Description: bacterial SSU rRNA
Rfam family: Bacterial small subunit ribosomal RNA
Source: RNAcentral